GAUGAACGCUGGCGGCGUGCCUAAUACAUGCAAGUCGAGCGAACGGACGAGAAGCUUGCUUCUCUGAUGUUAGCGGCGGACGGGUGAGUAACACGUGGAUAACCUACCUAUAAGACUGGGAUAACUUCGGGAAACCGGAGCUAAUACCGGAUGAUAUUUUGAACCGCCUGGUUCAAAAGUGAAAGACGGUCUUGCUGUCACUUAUAGAUGGAUCCGCGCUGCAUUAGCUAGUUGGUAAGGUAACGGCUUACCAAGGCAACGAUGCAUAGCCGACCUGAGAGGGUGAUCGGCCACACUGGAACUGAGACACGGUCCAGACGCCUACGGGAGGCAGCGUAGGGAAUCUUCCGCAAUGGGCGAAAGCCUGACGGAGCAACGCCGCGUGAGUGAUGAAGGUCUUCGGAUCGUAAAACUCUGUUAUUAGGGAAGAACAUAUGUGUAAGUAACUGUGCACAUCUUGACGGUACCUAAUCAGAAAGCCACGGCUAACUACGUG
Molecule: ribosomal RNA, 496 nt
Filed under: uncultured bacterium
Lineage: Bacteria
Description: partial 16S ribosomal RNA
Rfam family: Bacterial small subunit ribosomal RNA
Source: RNAcentral